AGAGAGUCAGUCGAAAUGAAAUUACACAUAGAAACUAAGCACAGCGAGGCUUUGUUUGUGAGACAUGCAGUCACGUGAGACUUUCGAGGGCCGUUUCUGGGUGGAGCUUGGUAAGGUCCAUUCCUUGCAGCAUUCCUGUGUCAUGCAUGAAUAUGAUUUUACUACUGAAGGUACAGCUCUUCUUUUUAAACCAUGAAAGAAAGUGAUCAGUCAGAAAGUCCAUAUACUUUGCUGAGUUCAUUUUCACACCUUCGGGGACUCCGAAGGGGCCGACCAACUCUCCCCUCAUAAUUUCGGCCCAAAACAUGAUUCCACCACCUCCUUGCUGACGUCACAAUCGUGUUGGGAUAUGGUGGCCAUCCACCACCAAUCCACUACUGCAUCCAUCUGGACCAUCCAGGGUUGCACAGCAGUCAUCAGUAAACAAGUUUAUUUGAAAAUUAAUUGGGCCCACUGCGACUGUUUCUGCUUGUCAGCACUGGUUAGGGGUGGCCGGAUAGUGGGUUCAUGCACCACAAGCCUCUAGAGGAUCUUCCACCUUGAGGUUCAAGAGGCACCAGCAGCUUCAAAUAACCAUUUGCUGCCUUGAAAGAGCAUUUUAACAGCUGCUCUUUUAAUGCGAUGAAUUUGUCUAACAGAAACCUUCCUCAUUAUGCCUUUAUCUGCACAAACCCAUCUUUGAUCUGAAUCAGCCACAAAUCUCUUCACAGUACGAUACCGCUUCAGUUUUCAUUAAAUAUCUAAUGUUUUCAUACCUUGUCAUAUGGCAUUACACUAUAUGAAGAUUGUCAUCAGCAGAGAAAUCCUUUCUCUUUCCAAUAUUGCUUGAAACCUGUGGCCUGCUUAAUAAUGUGGAACAUCCUUCUUAAGUAGAUUUCCUUUAAUUUAGCUCACCAGACAAACUAAUCAACCCAGCUCUCUGAAAUUAAUUAUAGUGAUUCAAAGACCCCUGACACACAAUACCAUCUAUAAAUUUAAUAACACAACAAAACAAUUUAAUCUUAAUGACACUUAAAUCCAAUUUGCAUAAUAAUUUGGAACACGGUGUAUAUAUUUACUGUUCAUUUUGUUACCCUGUUUAUACUUAGAAUAAAAUUUAAUCGCUUUUGUAAUACUCUGCAUUUCACAACCCCUUUUUCCCCUUUUCUCGGUGUUUAUAUUAUAUCAAGUAUUUGCAUGUAGAUUCAAGUGGGAUAUUAAAAUGCUUAAAAACACCUUUAAGUAAUACCAGCAAAGAAAUGUGAAUAUUAAGCAAUAUGCAGUUAGUCAUGUAAUUCAAUAUACUGAAUAAGGCUGGAUGAUAUGACUUACAAGAUUUUUUUCAUACCAGAUUUGAUUUGAAUUGAUUCCUCCCGUUCUCAAUUUCUAUAUAUAAAAAAUUAUUACAGAAAAUACUUUCACAAGUGCCUUUAUUUCAAUUAUUACUUCUUUUAGUUGGUAAGGGAGCAUUAUUGUCAGACUACAAGAAUUUUUAAUUACGAGAAUGCAGUCAUCAUAACAGCAGAAUAAAGAUGCAAUUUUACAAUAAUGUCUUAAAAUUACAAGAAGCUAUUUUAAUGAGAAAUAAAGAUUUAGAUUUAUCUGACGUAACCAGCUCAGUCAGUAAUCAAGAGGAUGUACAUUGCUACUUCAAUUGACCAGAUAAGUAUUAAGGUAAAAAAAAAUAAAGCAAAUGGAAAAUGGAAACUGAGCAUUAGCUCAGCCGAUGCAUCUGUCCAGGAAGCCACCAAACAGAACUCCUGUGCAACUCCAGCUACAAUAAAGAUAAAAACAGAAAUAAAACAAAGAUAAAAUAACAAAUAAUGCCAAUUUGAUCAUUCAGAUCUAAUGCGUUCCAGAUGUAAAAACUGAAAUGUAUCAUUGAUAUUUUACAAAUUUCACAAAUCAAUUAGAAGGUUUCACAAAUGUUUUAUUUAUUCUGUUAUUAGUGCAGAAUAAUCUAGUUAGGUUUGAAAUGUCUGUGUUGGGAACUGGGGUUUGUGGGAAUGGUUCCGUUUUGCUGCUUUUCCCCUCUUUUACCACCAGAGGGUGCGAAGAGGCUGUUUCCUUCCUGAGGGUGUUGCCUGUGGUUCCUGGAUUCUUGCACACCUGCAAUUUAUCACAUCAUCUGGAGGAGUAUAUGAGGGGGGGAGCUGCCGACACUUCAGCGCCAGAGUGUUAGCCAGUAUUUGGUGAUUCCUCGUGAAGCCAUGGAUGCUACCCACUGUGGUUGCCUGAGUUCCUGGCUUCUGCUGUGCAUUCCUUCCUUUGAGACGCCACACAUUAUUUGCAAAGCUGAUGACCACAGUGCCUUUUCACAUUGCUGCGAAAACAGGCUUUGUUUCAAAUGUCAUGCUCCAGCCUUGAUACAUUUAAAGUUGAGAGAGCGAACCAAUCACACCUUUGGCGCCUCAUUCGAUGUUUGAAGUUUACCUCAGUGUGGAUUGCGUGCCUCCUUUCACUCAAAGGAGGUGUAUGGAUAUUUACAUCGAUCCCCCUGUGAGGAAUUAUGUUUUUUUGGAGAACUUUACAUCAAGGAUUGCAUCGUAACACCUCGUGAUGUGUUUUUGAGCCAUGAUCGUUGUGCCGAUUACCUUUCCAUUGGGAUCCAAGCCCCUGGACCAGCUGACGGCGUCCAUCAGUCCACGGUUUUCCGGAUCAUCACAACGUGGACUAACUUUUUAUUUACAGUACUUGGUUAA
Non-coding RNA from Poecilia reticulata (guppy), 2681 nucleotides. NCBI's taxonomy places the organism in Eukaryota, Metazoa, Chordata, Actinopteri, Cyprinodontiformes, Poeciliidae. The record is from RefSeq and is a predicted model, not a curated record.